CGCGUAGGCGGUUUGUUAAGUCAGCUGUGAAAGCCCCGGGCUCAACCUGGGAACUGCAGUUGGUACUGGCCGACUAGAGUACGAGAGAGGGAGGUAGAAUUCCACGUGUAGCGGUGAAAUGCGUAGAUAUGUGGAGGAAUACCGGUGGCGAAGGCGGCCUCCUGGCUCGAUACUGACGCUGAGGUGCGAAAGCGUGGGGAGCAAACA
This 207-nucleotide ribosomal RNA is filed under the name uncultured bacterium. Its description in RNAcentral is "partial 16S ribosomal RNA". It matches the Rfam family "Bacterial small subunit ribosomal RNA", at positions 568 to 774 of the family's 1533-position model. The record is from RNAcentral.